RNAcentral lists this ribosomal RNA (430 nucleotides) under Bacteroidota bacterium. RNAcentral's name for it is "Bacteroidetes bacterium partial 16S ribosomal RNA". It matches the Rfam family "Bacterial small subunit ribosomal RNA", at positions 355 to 776 of the family's 1533-position model. Lineage: Bacteria; Pseudomonadati; Bacteroidota. The record is from RNAcentral.
UAGGGAAUCUUCGGCAAUGGGGGGAACCCUGACCGAGCAACGCCGCGUGAGUGAAGAAGGUUUUCGGAUCGUAAAGCUCUGUUGUUAAGGAAGAACGAGUGUGAGAAUGGAAAGUUCAUACUGUGACGGUACUUAACCAGAAAGGGACGGCUAACUACGUGCCAGCAGCCGCGGUAAUACGUAGGUGGCAAGCGUUGUCCGGAUUUAUUGGGCGUAAAGCGAGCGCAGGCGGUCAAUUAAGUCUGAUGUGAAAGCCCCCGGCUCAACCGGGGAGGGUCAUUUGAAACUGGUUGACUUGAGUGCAGAAGAGGAGAGUGGAAUUCCAUGUGUAGCGGUGAAAUGCGUAGAUAUAUGGAGGAACACCGGUGGCGAAGGCGACUCUCUGGUCUGUAACUGACGCUGAAGCUCGAAAGCGUGGGUAGCAAACAGG